UACGUAGGUGGCAAGCGUUACUCGGAAUCACUAGGCGUAAAGCGCAGGUAGGCGGUUUGAUAAGUCUCUUGUGAAAGCUCCCGGCUCAACUGGGAGAGGUCAAGGGAAACUGUCAGGCUAGAGUGUGGCAGAGGAAGCUAGAAUUCCCGGUGUAGCGGUGAAAUGCGUAGAUAUCGGGAAGAACACCCGUGGCUAAGGCGGCUCUCUAGUACGGUACUGACGCUGAGACGCGAAAGCGUGGGGAGCGAACAGG
RNAcentral lists this ribosomal RNA (253 nucleotides) under uncultured bacterium. Its description in RNAcentral is "partial 16S ribosomal RNA". It matches the Rfam family "Bacterial small subunit ribosomal RNA", at positions 524 to 776 of the family's 1533-position model. The record is from RNAcentral.